CCAAGUUAUUAAUUUAUUUUAUCUUGCCUUCAAAGUCUAUUAGUAUUUUUCUCCUCUAUAUAUAUUUGUACAACAACCAUUCCUCUUACACCAAUCUCCACAAUUUCUUGACCAAAAAUAAUCGCCACUUUCUCUCUGCUGGUUUCAUUCUCUUUUCCUCCAAAUGAUACACAUUUUGAAUUUAUUUAAGCCAAGAACAACGUAUACGCUCACCACCAUUCAUAUUAGAAGGUGGAUACAAUACAUCGUUCAGGACCUUCCAGCUCAUCAGUCAUCAAGAGGGUCUAAGCCUGCUCAAAGCUUUAGAGUGAGUUAGAGACGUUCUUGACAAAGUGAAUGCUUCUUUUCCUCCGAGCGGGUUUUAGAAGACAUUGCAUGCGAUGUGUUGUAUGUUGUCUCACUUGUGUGACAGAAGAAACAGAGAACACAACACAUCUGUCUCGCCUUUUCAUACAUUUGUGUCCUUCCCAAAUUUUUACUCUUUUUUGUUUUUUAAUGUUUCUUUCCUCAAAAUCAUCGACACUGAUUAGAGACGAUACUUCUAGAGGUUUGUAUGUAAUUAAGAAAAGUAAUCAAUAUUUACAAACUGUAUUAUUAUAAUACUGGAACAUCGAAUUUACAUUGGAAGUGGAUCAAUGAGAUUUAAUA
Molecule: long non-coding RNA, 648 nt
Organism: Camelina sativa (false flax)
Lineage: Eukaryota; Viridiplantae; Streptophyta; Magnoliopsida; Brassicales; Brassicaceae
Source: RefSeq, a predicted model, not a curated record